AAGAAGUGGAGAAGGAAACCAGAGCUGCUACACAAAUGUAGGCAAAUCGUCAGCUGCAGGCAGGCGGGCAGCACAGCAGCAGCAGGACAGGAGAAGGAGGGAUCACCAUAUCCUUAUAUAUUAUCCACCAGCCCCAGCGUAGCCCCAGCGUGAGGCCAGGAGGGGAGAAAGGGAGGAUAUAUCUAUGGUUCCGAGCGGUCGAGGUUCACUUUAGCCGGUCAGGACAUAACGAGGGUGGCCAUGAACUCGGCCGAGCAGACGGUGACAUGGCUCAUCACGCUGGGAGUACUGGAAUCGCCCAAAAAGACCGUGUCAGACCCGGAGGGCUUCCUGCAGACCAGCCUGAGGGACGGUGUGGUGCUCUGCAGGCUGCUGGACAGGCUGAAGCCUGGAUUAAACUUCAUGGUCUUCCAGGAGCCGAGGACGGACAGCGAGUGCCUGAGCAACAUCAGGGAGUUCCUGAAGGGCUGCUGCGCUUCUUUCCGAGUGGAGACGUUUGAACCUGAUGACCUGUUCCAGGGCCAGAACUUCACCAAGGUUCUGAAUUGUUUGGUAGCACUCAACAAAGCAACUGCAGAUAUUGGUGACUCUGUAUGUUUGCGGCAGUCCUCCUGUCUGCGGAUCAAGUCUUUUGAUUCCCUCAAUACUCAGGCCUCCCACCGAAGAACAUCAAGAACACUGCACAACCAGUACCGCAGUCUGCAGGACAUGUCGGACAACAGUUCGGCUCAGUUGCUGGUGAAGGCACGGUUUAAUUUCCAGCAGAACAACGAGGACGAAUUAUGCUUCAACAAGGGUGACAUCAUCCAGGUGACGCGGCAGGAAGAUGGCGGCUGGUGGGAAGGGACGUUUAACGGCAGGACCGGCUGGUUCCCUAGCAACUAUGUCAAGGAGGUCAAAGGAAGUGACAAGCCCAUCUCCCCCAAGUCUGGGACGCAGAAGAGUCCGCCCAAAGGCUUUGAGACUAAUGCUGUUACCAAGACCUACUAUAACCUGGUGGUCCAGAACAUUUUGCAGACUGAGACUGAAUACUGUAAAGAGCUGCAGACUCUUCUCUCCACGUACCUCAGACUACUGCAGCCCACAGACCGGCUGACUGUGGCUGACAUCGCUCACAUUCUGGGAAAUCUAGAGGAGAUCAGCUCUUUCCAGCAGACAUUGGUCCAGUCAUUGGAGGAAUGCACCAAACUUCCAGAGAACCAGCAGAGGGUGGGAGGAUUCUUUCUGUCUCUGAUGACGCAGAUGAAGAGCCUUUAUGUGGCCUACUGCUCCAACCAUCCACAUGCUGUCAGUGUACUCACACAACACAGUGAGGAGCUGGGCGAGUUCAUGGAGAGUAAAGGUGCGAGUGUUCCUGGUAUUCUCACCCUCACCACCAACCUGAGUAAGCCCUUCAUGAGACUGGACAAGUACCCCACGCUGCUCCAGGAGCUGGAUAGACAUAUGGAGGAUUGCCACCCAGAUCGCCCAGACAUUCAGAAAAGCCUGCCGACCUUCAAGAACCUCUCUGCUCAGUGUCAGGAAGUGAGGAAGAGGAAGGAGCUGGAGCUACAAAUUUUGACAGAUCCAGUGCGUAACUGGGAGGGAGAAGGCAUCAAGACUCUAGGCUCCGUCAUCUACAUGUCUCAAGUCCUCUUGCAGAACCAUGGAAGUGAGGAGAAGAACGAGCGUUACCUUCUGCUCUUCCCUCAUGUGUUACUUGUGCUCUCCGCCAGCCCCCGAAUGAGCUGCUUUAUCUAUCAGGGGAAGCUUCCUCUAACAGGAAUGAUGGUAACCAAAUGUGAAGACGCAAGGAAUACUUUUGAAAUAUCUGGGACUAUGAUUGACAGGAUCCAGGUCAUAUGUAACAACCAGCAGGAUCUACUGGAGUGGGUGGAGCAUCUUACCCGGCAGACCAAACGCACAUCAUCCUGUACAUCCAGUUUAAAACCACAGUCCGUGCCAUGUCAUACGCUCCCCUCUCACCCAGUCACACCGUCCAGACACUCGGAGAGUCGAGGAACCAGCGGCACACCAGCCUACCACACACUUCCACAUCCCUCCUCACACGGCACCCCACACAGCACUAUGAUGUGGGGUCCUCUGGAGCCCCCCAAAACUCAAAAACCUUGGAGUCUCAGUUGCCUUAGACCAGCACCUCCUCUCAAACCCUCAGCUGCUUUGUCCUAUAAAGAGGAUCUAAGCAAAAGCCCCAAGAGUAUGAAGAAGCUUUUACACAAACGUAAACCUGAGAGGAAGCCCUCAGAGGAAGAAUUUGCUGUGAGAAAAAGUACUGCAGCCCUGGAAGAGGAUGCACAGAUUCUGAAAGUAAUCGAGGCAUACUGCACGAGUGCUAAGACACGACAAACCCUCAACUCAACAUGGCAAGGCACUGAUUUGAUGCAUAAUCAUGUGCUGGCUGACGUUGACCAAUCGUGCGUGGAGGCUGUGGGUUGCCGUACCAGCAUGUUGCGCCUUGAACCCUCAUCCGACCAAUCGGAAGACUCGGACUAUGACAGUAUAUGGACUGCCCAUAGUUACAGAAUGGGUUCCAUCUCUCGUUCAAGAAAGGAGUCAGGUCCUCAUAUGCUUUUCCCUGAAGAGGAGAAGAUCAUUGUGGAAGAGACAAAGAGCAAUGGGCAGACAGUGAUUGAAGAAAGGAGUCUGGUGGACACGGUUUAUGCACUGAGGGAUGAAGUUCAGGAACUCAAACAGGACAACAAGAGGAUGAAGAGAACUCUAGAAGAGGAGCAGAAGGCGAGAAAAGAGCUGGAGAAGAUAGUCAGGAGAGUAUUAAAGAGCAUGAACGACCCGUCUUGGGAUGAGACCAAUUUAUAAAGUGGGUCAGUGAUGUUAAGCCAGCAUGCAUGCGGUCCAUGCUUGGCACUGGAACGAGAGAACACUGAACACUGUACGAUGAAAAAACUGCAUCCUGUAAUGCAGCAUUAAUGCAUCAUGUGUGAUAGAGCUGAAGAAUCAGGCCUGACUUUCGACCAAACAACCCUUUGUUUUGAGCUGAGCCUGCAGUUGAAGAUAAUAAGAGAUGCUUAAAUGACCGAACUGGACCAGAUCUUUCCUUUUCCUGUCACUGGAUUAAAGCCUGCUUUGGACUCUAUUUUAAGACGUUUGCCAGUGCCAAAUUUGCUGGUCUUUGCCAAAUGAAAAAUUAACCUCUGAAUUUUAAGUAUAAAUCGAGGAACAGCUAUUGGAAUAAGUGGCCAAAAAAACUUUAGGUUAUGCCUUAAAUGUAUUUCUUCUGGACACAUUUAACAAGAAAUAUACUAAUAUAUAAUUAUUGGUAAGUAUGAAAAUAAUUCUUCCUGAGAGAAGAUUGUUAUAUACUGUUUUUGGUGUUGCUAGUGUUGCUAAUACUUUUUUCUUUCUGUAUUUCCACUGAAAGUGUCUCCAGCAUGUACCUUAAAAAAACUAAAUCAAGCUGAUGUCACAUGGUUCCCAGUUUGACUCUGAUUUUGACUGGGAGUCUCAGGGAUUACUAAGAAAAUUGGUAGCCACAGCACUGCCUGGGUCCUUCACUAAUGCAAGUCUUUCAGUUUAGAUUGGAUUUUAUUUUGGACUUGGUUCUGUGCUAAACCGAGUCUUUCACUUUAGCCUGGGUUCUGUUCUUAAAAGAGAGUCUUUCAGUUUAGCCCAGGUCUUUUACUAAAGAUAAUCUUUCAGUUUACCCUAAAGGAUUUUUUUAAAACCAAUCUUUAGGGUUAGCCUGGGUACUUUCCUAAGGCAAGUCUUUCAGUUUAGCCUGGGUCCUUCACUAAAGUGAGUCUUUAGUUUAACCCGAGUCAUUUACUAAAGGCAAUCUUUAGGGUUAGCUUGGGUCUUUUACUAAAGCAUGUCUUUCAGUUUAGCCUGGGUCCCUCACUAAAUCAGGUCUUUCAGUUUAGCCUGGGUCCCUCACUAAAACAGGUCUUUCAGUUUAGCCUGGGUCCCUCACUAAAACAGGUCUUUCAGUUUAGCCUGGGUCCCUCACUAAAACAGGUCUUUCAGUUUAGCCUGGGUCCAUCACUAAAACAGGUCUUUCAGUUUAGCCUGGGUCCAUCACUAAAUCAAGUCUUUCAGUUUAGCCUGGGUCCAUCACUAAAUCAAGUAUUUCAGUUUAGCCUGGAUUCUUCACUAAAGCGAGUCUUUAGUUUAGCCUGUGUCCUUUGCUAAAGUGAGUCUUUCAGUUUAACCUGGGUCCCUCAAUGAAUCUGGUCUUUCAGUUUAGCCUGGGUCCUUCGCUAAAGUGAGUCUUUCAGUUUAGCCUGGAUUCUUCACUAAAGCGAGUCUUUAGUUUAGCCUGGGUCUUUUGCUAAAGUGAGUCUUUCGGUUUAGCCUGGGUCCUUCACUAAAUCAAGCCUUAGCCUGGGUUCUGUGCUUAUGUAAUUCUUUAAUUCUAGCCUGGGUUCUUUAAUACAGACAAUCGUUUAGUUGAGACAUUCUUAGAAUCCAUUCCCAACACAGUAAACCAGUCAAAAACUUACUUCCAGCAAGAAAACACAGCAAUACAGUACUGGAAACAAUCAAGGGCUGUUUGUCAGCUUUUGUUUUUAUUUUUUAAUUACCUCGUUUACUUCUUUUCCUGUCUUAAUUCAGUCAGGUUUUACCAUUGAGACACCAGGCAGAUGUUGACUCAUUUUACUGUUUAUACUGUUUUUUUCUUUUAAAUUUGUUCUAAUUCCACUAAUGAAUUUGUACAGAAACUAAUUUCUAGCCUCUAUUCCAAAAGAUCAGCAGGAAUGUGCCUUUUUUUGGAAACAGUUUCCAGAAAUUUCUUGGCAUUUUUCACUGCAUUUGUAAGGAAAUGACAUAUGCAACAGAUCGUUUGAAUAUGCAGUGCUACUAAACUGACAACUCAAGAAUCUUCCAUGUUGUCUGUCUAAUUUAUGUAUUUAAAUGAAAUGAAAAAGCCGUCUAAUGCAAAAAGCCUCUACGCUGGUUUUAUUCCGUCGUCUGCAUGGGUACCAUUUCCUACUCUCUUUUUUAUGUUCAUCUGUUUCUUCUAUUUCUAUUCUGUCUCUGUUCUAUUGCUGUCUUUUCAUGUGUUCAUUCUCUUUCUCUCACACUCUUCUCUAAUCUGUUUGAGUGUGUUGAUGUAUGUAGAUUAAACAAAAUAAAACCUUGCUUAUUCAUUAUUUAUCCUGGAA
RNA transcript from Astyanax mexicanus (Mexican tetra), 5120 nucleotides. It is a transcript of the gene named Rho guanine nucleotide exchange factor (GEF) 7b, with no coding region annotated. The transcript has 24 exons. The record is from RefSeq and is a predicted model, not a curated record. NCBI's taxonomy places the organism in Eukaryota, Metazoa, Chordata, Actinopteri, Characiformes, Acestrorhamphidae.